This 465-nucleotide ribosomal RNA is filed under the name uncultured bacterium. RNAcentral's name for it is "bacterial SSU rRNA". It matches the Rfam family "Bacterial small subunit ribosomal RNA", at positions 331 to 794 of the family's 1533-position model. The record is from RNAcentral.
CCAGACUCCUACGGGAGGCAGCAGUGAGGAAUAUUGGUCAAUGGGCGCGAGCCUGAACCAGCCAAGUCGCGUGAGGGAAGACGGUCCUAUGGAUUGUAAACCUCUUUUGUCGGGGAGCAAAAGACGCCACGCGUGGCGUUCCGAGAGUACCCGAAGAAAAAGCAUCGGCUAACUCCGUGCCAGCAGCCGCGGUAAUACGGAGGAUGCGAGCGUUAUCCGGAUUUAUUGGGUUUAAAGGGUGCGCAGGCGGAAGAUCAAGUCAGGGUUAAAAUUGAGGGGCUCAACCUCCCCGAGCCGUUGAAACUGGUUUUCUUGAGUGAGUGAGAAGUAUGCGGAAUGCGUGGUGUAGCGGUGAAAUGCAUAGAUAUCGCGCAGAACUCCGAUUGCGAAGGCAGCAUGCCAGCGCCACACUGACGCUGAGGCACGAAAGCGUGGGUAUCGAACAGGAUUAGAUACCCCCGUAAA